GGGGUUGUGGCUCAGGGGUAGAGCGCCCGCCUAGCACGGGUGAAGCCCUGGGUUCGAUCCCCAGCACCACA
This 71-nucleotide transfer RNA is filed under the name Marmota monax (woodchuck). RNAcentral's name for it is "tRNA.Ala". It matches the Rfam family "tRNA". From Rfam's summary of the family: Transfer RNA (tRNA) molecules are approximately 80 nucleotides in length. Their secondary structure includes four short double-helical elements and three loops (D, anti-codon, and T loops). The record is from RNAcentral. Lineage: Eukaryota; Metazoa; Chordata; Mammalia; Rodentia; Sciuridae.